CGCCUCUUUAAGGCUAAUCCCGUGAGGUUAGCAAGGGGACUCGAUCUAACGCUGGAGGUAUGCGUACCUCUGUGCUUGGACCUGCCUCUUUGUGUACCCACGAAGAGGUUUUUUUGU
Molecule: regulatory RNA element, 117 nt
Organism: Brevibacillus laterosporus LMG 15441
Lineage: Bacteria; Bacillati; Bacillota; Bacilli; Caryophanales; Paenibacillaceae
Rfam family: PyrR binding site
About the family: This family represents the PyrR binding site and terminator structure. This RNA structure is found upstream of a variety of genes involved in pyrimidine biosynthesis and transport.
Source: Rfam